CCGGGUCGAUCACCACAACCCUGGGCGGGGACGGGGGAACCAGGUACGUCGCCGUCCCCCACGGCUAGGGGUGAAGUCGCCCGCACCGGCUCCGACCGGCGUACGGCGGCCGGGCCUCCCUCCGGGUCCGAACCCGACAGCUCACCUCGCAGGCGUGCGGAGAGGAUCG
Molecule: small RNA, 169 nt
Filed under: Kitasatospora griseola
Lineage: Bacteria; Bacillati; Actinomycetota; Actinomycetes; Kitasatosporales; Streptomycetaceae
Description: c-di-AMP sequence
Rfam family: c-di-AMP riboswitch aptamer (ydaO/yuaA leader)
About the family: This family represents a conserved RNA structure found upstream of the ydaO and yuaA genes in Bacillus subtilis and related genes in other bacteria. The ydaO/yuaA element is thought to act as a genetic "off" switch for the ydaO and yuaA genes in its native state. It is believed that the element may be triggered during osmotic shock leading to activation of ydaO, a predicted amino acid transporter gene, and members of the yuaA-yubG operon which code for KtrA and KtrB K+ transporters.
Source: Rfam by way of RNAcentral